This 454-nucleotide ribosomal RNA is filed under the name Cornu aspersum (brown garden snail). RNAcentral's name for it is "eukaryotic LSU rRNA". Lineage: Eukaryota; Metazoa; Mollusca; Gastropoda; Stylommatophora; Helicidae. The record is from RNAcentral.
AAAGUUGAAAAGNACUUUGAAGAGAGAGUUCAAGAGUACGUGAAACCGCCCAGAGGUAAACGGGUGGAUCCGCAAAGUCGGCCCGUGGNAUUCAGCGCGGCGCGCAGACCUGGGCUAUNCGUGGUUCGGGAUCCCUGGGACCCCAUCGCGGUGUCGUUCGGGUCUCCGCUGCGUGCACUUUCCACGGGCAGAGUGCCACAACCGGUUCGGCGGCGGCUAAAAGUUUGGAGGGUUNUAGGUGGGGGCGCUUGCGUCCCUACCAGCCCUACUCUUGCGAGUCGUCGCCGGACCGAGGGAACGCAGCGCGCUUCGAGGCCACCUUCCCCUCCUGGUGAGUUCGACUAGGAGAGACUGGGCAACCGUGUCUCCUGACCGCUCAUCUGUGAUCGGCGUGAGGCUGGCCGGGCGUGCAUUGUCUGUNNAGGGUUGGUNGGCAAGUNUGUCGGCAUUCCAC